UAGGUGAACCAGCGGAGGGAUCAUUACCGAGUUUACAACUCCCAAACCCCAAUGUGAACGUUACCAAUCUGUUGCCUCGGCGGGAUUCUCUUGCCCCGGGCGCGUCGCAGCCCCGGAUCCCAUGGCGCCCGCCGGAGGACCAACUCCAAACUCUUUUUUUCUCUCCGUCGCGGCUCCCGUCGCGGCUCUGUUUUAUUUUUGCUCUGAGCCUUUCUCGGCGACCCUAGCGGGCGUCUCGAAAAUGAAUCAAAACUUUCAACAACGGAUCUCUUGGUUCUGGCAUCGAUGAAGAACGCAGCGAAAUGCGAUAAGUAAUGUGAAUUGCAGAAUUCAGUGAAUCAUCGAAUCUUUGAACGCACAUUGCGCCCGCCAGUAUUCUGGCGGGCAUGCCUGUCCGAGCGUCAUUUCAACCCUCGAACCCCUCCGGGGGGUCGGCGUUGGGGAUCGGCCCCUCACCGGGCCGCCCCCGAAAUACAGUGGCGGUCUCGCCGCAGCCUCUCCUGCGCAGUAGUUUGCACACUCGCACCGGGAGCGCGGCGCGGCCACAGCCGUAAAACACCCCAAACUUCUGAAAUGUUGACCUCGGAUCAGGUAGGAAUACCCGCUGAACUUAAGCAUAUCAAUAAGCGGAGGAAAAGAAACCAAC
RNAcentral lists this ribosomal RNA (646 nucleotides) under Trichoderma sp. BAB-3608. Its description in RNAcentral is "eukaryotic LSU rRNA". The stretch from base 251 to 404 matches the Rfam family "5.8S ribosomal RNA". Lineage: Eukaryota; Fungi; Ascomycota; Sordariomycetes; Hypocreales; Hypocreaceae. The record is from RNAcentral.